Molecule: long non-coding RNA, 5559 nt
Organism: Oncorhynchus tshawytscha (Chinook salmon)
Lineage: Eukaryota; Metazoa; Chordata; Actinopteri; Salmoniformes; Salmonidae
Exons: 4
Source: RefSeq, a predicted model, not a curated record
GCCACUGUUCCCGUCCAGGUGGAUGAACACACACGCUCAUACAUGGAAGCCACUGAGAAUCUUAGACACACACACAAACGUGAAGUUAAACCCUAAAGGCACACACAAACUUGAAUUCUAAAGAGUCACACAUGCACACGUGCAUGCACACAAAUACACACACAUACGCACGCACGCACUCACACACACAAACACAUCGUAAGGGCACACACCAACAGAUACACACAAAUGUGACCGGAUUCAGGAAGGUGGGCGUUUGGCGCUAGUUCCUACAUCACAGUAGGGAAAAUUUAGAAAAAAAGCUGUUGUAUAGCACACUGUAUUACUUAUACAACUAAUAUAUGGACAGGAAAUUAGACGGGAGUAGAAAUUAACGUAGGCAUUGUUUAAUGCAUUUCACAGGAAGAAUGUUCCAAGCAUUUCAGUGUAGGUAAGCAAGGGGGGUUACAGGUGCACUAAAGGGACAAAACUAGAUCAAUACACAACAUAUUCCUCCCCCUUUUGAUGACUCAGAAGGAAAAAGGAAAUAUUCACUGUUUUGCCUCGUGUUUUCUUUUUAAUAAUAAUAAGUUCUCUUAAUGUAAAUAAAUGAACUUUUCAGAAUAACCUUUACUGAACUAGGGAAAUUGGGUAGACUGCCUCAGUUCCCAGACUUAACCCUGGGGUGUAUUCUGCCACAAUGUCGGGGGUAGUCUGAACUAAAUAGUCAACCUGUCAGGGGGUCGUCUUUCUCUUGCAGGGUAAUGACGACAUACAGGUGAGUUUACAGUCACACUGUCUCUGAGUCUGAGUGGUGAUGGUGUAUGCCCAGACUGGGGUGUAACAGUCCCCUGAGUAGGCACUCUGGCUGGUUCAGGUGAGUCUGGAGCACCUUCCACAUUUGUGUGUUGCUGCAGUGGAUGCUCAGGUGAUGGCUCAUAGUCAUGGUAGGUCUCCAGUUGCUGAUCUUGGUUUGUCAUUUGACAGGAGUCUUCUCUGAGGUUGGUUCCUGGCAACAGUUGAUCCACGUGUCUCCACCAGAUUAUGUUUUCCAGUGUGUGAACUGUGUAGGACACAGGCCCUGUUUGUGCAGCCACUGUGGCUGGUAUCCACUUUGGACCUUUGCAGUAGUUCCGAGCAAAGACUCUCUCCAGCUAUGAAGCUUCUGUCUCUUGCUUUGCUCCGUCUCUCCACCUGUGCUCUCUGUUGAGUCUGUAAAAUCGAAUUAGUCUUUGGAGGUCUCAGGAGGUCGAGUAGCGUGCGAAGCUGUAUUUUCAUCAUGGCUGACGCGGGUGCCACUUUGGUUGUAGCGUGGGGAGUGUUUCUGUAGGUUAACAGGAAGGUGUUUUUAGGCGCUUAUUGAGGGAGCCGUUCCCUUGUGAUGAUUUUAAAGUUUGCUUCAUCGUUUGGACAAACCUUUCAGCGAGGCCGUUCGUUGGAGGGUGAUACGGCGCUGACUUGAUGUACUGAAUUCUAUUUGCUUCCAUGAAUGAACAGAACUCUUCAGACACCAGUUGGUGGCCAUUAUUGCUAAUGAGUUGCGUUGGCAAGCCGAAGUGACUGAAGAUUGACCGUAGCUCUUCGAUGGUUCUCUCCGCUGAGGUGCUCUUCAUCACUGUGACCGCCGGCCAUUUGCUGUGUGCGUCAACUACGACUAAGAACAUACGGUCAUCCAGUGGGCCUUCAUAGUCUAUGUGGACUCGUUGCCAAGGCUCCUCUGGGAAGUCCCAUGGUUGUAGUGGUACUAGCUGAGGCAUGUUCCUCAUCUUUUGACAUGCAGAACAUGACUUGACCUUGUCUUCGAUAGCUACGUCCAAACUUGGCCACCAAAAGUAGCUGGGUGCAAUCUUCUUCAUUCGCACCAUGCCACAGUGCCCUGAAUGGAGUUCUUUAAGCACUUGCCUCAAUGGUGGCGGUAUGAUGACUCGAGAACCCCAUAGCAAGCAUCCAAACUGAACUGUGAGCUCGUUUCUCCUCACUAGGUAAGGUUGUAGGUUGUCUGACAGCACUCCUUUUCCACGAGUGACCAUGUCCAGGACCUCAGACAUCACUGGAUCAGUGCGGGAAUACCUUUUCAUUUGGACAGAAGUAACUGGGGCGUCCGUCACUUCCUUGAAGUAGAAGAUUUCAGCCUGGGAGUGCUCAGUGUGUGUGACAGCUGGCUGCAAGCAACGGAAUGUCGGUGUGGGACCAAAGAUGGAGGUGAGGUGUUUAUGGUCCGUCAGCAGUGUGAAUCGUCGGCCAAACAGAAACGGAUGAAAUUUCUUAACUCCAAACACAAUGGAUGGCCACCCUGCUCAGCAAGUUCAGGAUAGACUUCUCCGACAUCAACGUACUAGGAGACAUCAACACCAAGCCCAAGAAAGAGAAUAAGGUGUUGUUUUUUGGACCUGGGAACUGAAGAGGCUACUGGAUUCCAUGUCUUGUACCGAUGAGUGUCUGAACUGUGUGCUAACUGCUUGAACAGACAGUUCGGUACCUUCAAAACAUCAGUACCUUGCACAAAGAACAAUAGUUAUGCAGUCAAUCUUUCCUCAACUUGAGCCAGGAGAGACUGACAUUUUCCCUCCAUCUACAUCUAAGUGUAAUAUGUGCUGCUCUGUUCUGGACCAACUGCAGGUGCUUUUCUUUCAAAAACAAGGACAUUUCUAAGUGACCCCAAACUUUUGAAAGGUAGUGCACAUAUUUCCUAUCUCCUUGUUUUGUCCAGUUGGAUCCUCUCUCCUCCCUUCAUAAGCUGAUUGCUGCGAUAAACAUUCAUUGCUGUCGGUGGGUUUGAUGUGAAUAUAACUCACUGAUCACUGAAUGAACACUGCGGUUCAAACACCUCGAGGACCAAUCAAUGAAGAGGACUCUAACGUGGAGGUUCAAUGUAUAGCCAAUCAGGGACAGAGGAGUAGUAACCACACUGCUUCGUGAGCUUAUGUCAAGGGUUUGCUCCUUAAAAAUACAGGCCUACUCUAAUACCCUACAUAACCUUGUCCUUAAGGGGCUCCUUUUAAACUACAAUGAAUUAGUUAGACUCCGGUACUAUGUCCAUUGAAACAGAGAUCAAAUGGUCCCUUAAUUUGAUCUAUUUGUAGGAUAGAAAACUGUUCGGUAGUUUAUUUUGCACAGAAUGAAUUGACAGAUAUUGAAUUUGGCCUGUCUAAAAUAUUGGUGCCUCUGUAGUUGAAUGAGUGUACCAAUAUCCCGGGCCAAUAUUUGAUGCAAUAUUUAAUUGAGCAUCCGCUUGAGCAACCUUUAUUUGUUGUUGCCAGUCAGUCUGCUAAAUGUAACCACGCUGGGAAUCAACAUUUUUCCACAUUCACAUUUAUUUUGUUUGGUAAAAAAAAAAAAUGUAAUAAUCAUUUCCAGUGGAAAGCAACAGCGGCGUUGUCUGGGAGCCCCCAAAUGGAAACCAGACCCAUACGGGGCCCUAGUAACACAGACACACAUGCGCACACACACACACAAACACAUACUGUACACACACACACACACACAUAUACGGUAGACACAAACACAUAUACACACACCCAAAGGGGCCUCAUUUCGUCUUUAAUCCAAGCUAACGCAGCCUACUGCUUCACACAAACUCACUACCCCCCCAUCCCCCAUCUCCCUCUUUUGUGGAUUAAUUUGGGGGGGGGUCAUUAAAAAACGAAAAAGACGAAGGCCGAUUUUGAUUGGAUAUUUUGUUAUUUUCUCGUUUACUUUUUGGGUAAAUAGGUCUAGCUACAGGCAUAGGACAUCCCUCGAUAGCCAGUUACAUCCAUUCAAGACGCUAAAUGUAUAUCCAAUCAAAAAUUAGACUCCGAAUAUCAAACCCCAAGGUAUGUCUGGUACCUUUCCUAACCCUCACAGAUAGCCAAACUCCUCCAUCCCCUGUGCCCACUCUCUUUCCAAUGAGAGAAUGUAGACUCCCAUCCUUCCAAGCCCCCAAUGUAGCCAAUUCCCACAGACAUUUUGACGGCAGGCAGCACAACAUUAUUCUCCCACCAUAGAGUCUAUAUCAGGCCCGAAACUUCCCACCUCCCCCUCAAUUCCCCCUUACUCCAGAUCUGUCUACAGUACAGCCUGGUUUACAUUAGAUGUGUGUAGCUCUGGGGGCUAUGAGAGAUACAGGAGUGGGACAGCAGGCCUUCUCAGGACACUAAGGUCUGACUCCUUUAUAAUAGAGUCCAGAGUACAGAGACAUAUAGAUAGGGUUAGCACACACACUUCCUGUUGAAUGAGUGAAUGAAGGGAUGUGGGAAUAAGGGAGAAAUAAGUGAAGAGAGAGACAGAUUUUUCAAUGCGUUAUCUAAAUGCAGUCAAUUGUUUCACUGGAGAAAAAUACACAAUUUCAAAACGGAUUGGACAAUGCAAUUGGGCAUUCGACUAAGUAGAUGUGAAUUAACAUCUACUGCUUGACAUAAUCUUAUUAGCUUUUGUUUAGCUUUAUUAUAUUGUCUAUCCUAUGUAGUCUCACUAAAUCAAGACACUCAUGGGUUCAUUUGGAAUAAAUAAAAUAUAUAUUUGAUUGGACUCUAUUUGUGUCUUCUGAUGCUUUCAUUGGCCUGAGCUUCUGAAAUGUGUGUUUUACACAAAGUGUAACUGUUCCAUAUUACCCAGUCCACAACAUGACUGCACUGGUUUUUUGGGGGGAUUUCUGAGACGAUAAAAUCUCUGCAUUUUAAAAUUUCAAACAGUCAAUUGUAUCUCAUGGCGAAAUGCAUAGCACAUAAAAUAAAAAAGGUUUGACCAGAUAUUGUUUAUCUUGAUCAGACAGGUUUACAUGGACGAUAUAUUGGAGAUAAUAUACAACAAUUACUUGAACCAUUUGAACAUUAUGAAACAUCGAAGAUACCAGGCCUGGUCUUCAUAGCAGAUUUUGAAAAAGCGUUUGGUAAAGCACGACUCAAAUUUAUAUAUAUAUGCCGGGAUUACUUUAAUUUCGGUGAAUCUCUUAUAAAAUGGGUUAAAGUUAUGUACAGGAACCCCAGAUGUAAAAUGGUAAACAAUGGGUACUUCUCAGAAAGUAUUCAGUGUUAAAGAGGAGAAAAACAAGUCUGUCUGUUGGAUCCAUAUCUAUUUAUUAUGGCCAUUGAAACGUUAGCAAUUAAAAACAAGUGUCAAUGAAUGCCGGUCUCAUUGAAGAUCUUGAUCACUUUUCUAGCCUCUCUGGACUAAAACCUAAUUAUGACAAGUGUACCAUAUUACACAUUGGAUCGUUAAAAAAUACAGUGUUUACAUUACCUUGUAGUUUACCAAAAUAUAAAUGAACUGACCACAAUUAGUUUCAGUAGAAAGUUAGCAAAAAUAGAUAAGAUUCUGCAACCAUGGAGAGGUAAAUACUUGUCUAUUUAUGGAAAAAUCACAUUGAUUAACUCUUCGGUCCAAUCACAGUUUACUUACUUACUAAUGGCACUACUCCAGAUUACUUGUUUUUUAAAUCAUACGAGCAAAAAAGAUUUCAUUUUAUUUGGAAUGCAAAACCAGACAAAAUUAAACGUGCCUAUUUAUGUAAUGAAAAUACGUUUGGGGGAUAAAAUUAUUAAAUAUUAAAGCUUUAAAUCUCUCACUAAAAGCUUCACUCAUUAAUACAGUUGAAGUCGU